UAACAUCACCAUGUUUUCUCGUUGGCCA
Molecule: non-coding RNA, 28 nt
Filed under: Mus musculus (house mouse)
Lineage: Eukaryota; Metazoa; Chordata; Mammalia; Rodentia; Muridae
Source: RNAcentral